RNAcentral lists this ribosomal RNA (440 nucleotides) under uncultured bacterium. RNAcentral describes it as "partial 16S ribosomal RNA". It matches the Rfam family "Bacterial small subunit ribosomal RNA", at positions 338 to 795 of the family's 1533-position model. The record is from RNAcentral.
CCUACGGGAGGCAGCAGUGGGGGAUAUUGCACAAUGGGGGAAACCCUGAUGCAGCGACGCCGCGUGGGUGAAGAAGCGCCUCGGCGCGUAAAGCUCUGUCAGCAGGGAAGAAAAUGACGGUACCUGAAGAAGAAGCCCCGGCUAACUCCGUGCCAGCAGCCGCGGUAAUACGUAGGGGGCAAGCGUUAUCCGGAUUUACUGGGUGUAAGGGGGGCGCAGACGGCGAUGCAAGCCAGGAGGGAAAGCCCGGGGCCCAACCCCGGGACUGCUCGUGGAACUGCGUGGCUAGAGAGCAGGUGGGGCAGGCGGAAUGCCUGGUGUAGCGGUGAAAUGCGUAGAGAUCAGGAGGAACACCGAUGGCGAAGGCGGCCUGCUGGACUACAACUGACGUUGAGGCCCGAAAGCGUGGGGAGCAAACAGGAUUAGAUACCCUUGUAGUC